This 29-nucleotide non-coding RNA is filed under the name Rattus norvegicus (Norway rat). Lineage: Eukaryota; Metazoa; Chordata; Mammalia; Rodentia; Muridae. The record is from RNAcentral.
UGAGGUAGUGCACGAAGCCCACAGCCAAC